This is a small nuclear RNA of Dipodomys ordii (Ord's kangaroo rat), 102 nucleotides long. The record is from Ensembl. NCBI's taxonomy places the organism in Eukaryota, Metazoa, Chordata, Mammalia, Rodentia, Heteromyidae.
GUGCUUGCUUUGGCAGCACAUAAACUAAAAUUGGAAUGAUACAGAGAAGAUUAGCAUGGCUCUUGCACAAGGAUGUCACACAAGUUCAUGAAUCAUAUUUUU